AUGUCAUAUAGGAGCAACAACCCUGAGAUCUCACCGCUUGCUUCUAGUAAUCAUAUGCAGGGAAUUAGGUACAAUGAGGAGAGCAACAACUAUGCUCCACAACAGAUUUAUUCACCUCCUACUCAUAUACCGCAGCACCAGGAGAUGUGUCCAAUGGAGUUAAAUGGUCCUCCACUUGGUCAACCAACAACUCCUACACCUGUUGUGCAAUCUCAUGUGCAAGUGCCCACACAAGAUGAGUUCGAUGACAUAGACAAGCUCACACUUUUGAGUCUUGAGUUCACUUGGAGUUCCGAGGAUGAUCCUAUUAGGAAGGUGAUACUUGAGGAAAUGAGGAAGAUUAAGAGUGGAAAGGAGCUAGUGGAAGAAGUAAGGAAGAUUGAGAAGAACAUCAACGCUGGAAGUACUAUCUCUUCCCUCCUUGAGCUGAGUGUUCCGGGAUAUCCCUUGAGGCAUGUGAGGUUCCAAUACCAUCACAUCUAG
Molecule: ribosomal RNA, 483 nt
Filed under: Triticum aestivum (bread wheat)
Lineage: Eukaryota; Viridiplantae; Streptophyta; Magnoliopsida; Poales; Poaceae
Description: partial small subunit ribosomal RNA
Source: RNAcentral